UCAAGGUUUGAAUUUACAAUCUCCUGCUUCAAUACUGCAACAAAUUAAGAUAACAUAAUUUUUUAAUUCUUUUACCGGCGAACCACGUCGUUGGCGACCCCUCCAAUUCAUUUUUGCUAACAAACCACGCUGGUGGAAGGGGGUUUCUUUGAUGUUAUUCAUUUUUGAAGGAUCAGCACGACCUCGGCGAACAACGCUGCUGGGGGUGGGGAUUCUUCAUUGUUCUUCAAGUAAGAACAUUGUUAUACAGAGCUAUGGUAUGUGUAUGGGUAAAGUCACGAAAUCUUCAAGUAAAAAAAAAUUGAAGGAUUAGCACGACCUCAGCUUUCAAAGAUUUUGUGAUUUGCUUUUGCUCUAUAUUUUCUUAUUUUAUUAUUAUAUCUUAUACAUUGUUAGACAUAACUAUGUUAUGUAUAGGGAUAAAGUCUCAUUUUUUUUUUAUGAGAUCUGCUCUUAUUUCUACUUCAUAUACAUUAAUACGCAAUGUAUAUGGUUGACCCAAUUUGUUAUUAUACAUGCAAGAGUUAUUGUAUAAGGGUUAUCAGUGACAUAUAAUGUAUGUGGCUUAAAGUAUUCUGAUCUUAUACAUGUAAGACUUAUGUAUAAGGGAUUGUCUGUAUUAUGCAAUUUAUAUGAUUUGUCCCAAUGUUAUAUGUUUUAUAUAUAAAAUUAUUGUUUACUGCUACUAUUUUUU
Molecule: long non-coding RNA, 694 nt
Filed under: Capsicum annuum
Lineage: Eukaryota; Viridiplantae; Streptophyta; Magnoliopsida; Solanales; Solanaceae
Description: long non-coding RNA (CANN_LNC001454)
Source: RNAcentral